RNAcentral lists this ribosomal RNA (614 nucleotides) under uncultured bacterium. Its description in RNAcentral is "bacterial SSU rRNA". It matches the Rfam family "Bacterial small subunit ribosomal RNA", at positions 202 to 803 of the family's 1533-position model. The record is from RNAcentral.
GAAAGGCGCUUUCGGGUGUCGCUGAUGGAUGGACCCGCGGUGCAUUAGCUAGUUGGUGAGGUAACGGCUCACCAAGGCGACGAUGCAUAGCCGACCUGAGAGGGUGAUCGGCCACAUUGGGACUGAGACACGGCCCAAACUCCUACGGGAGGCAGCAGUAGGGAAUCUUCGGCAAUGGACGAAAGUCUGACCGAGCAACGCCGCGUGAGUGAAGAAGGUUUUCGGAUCGUAAAACUCUGUUGUUAGAGAAGAACAAGGAUGAGAGUAACUGUUCAUCCCUUGACGGUAUCUAACCAGAAAGCCACGGCUAACUACGUGCCAGCAGCCGCGGUAAUACGUAGGUGGCAAGCGUUGUCCGGAUUUAUUGGGCGUAAAGCGAGCGCAGGCGGUUUCUUAAGUCUGGUGUGAAAGCCCCCGGCUCAACCGGGGAGGGUCAUUGGAAACUGGGAGACUUGAGUGCAGAAGAGGAGAGUGGAAUUCCAUGUGUAGCGGUGAAAUGCGUAGAUAUAUGGAGGAACACCAGUGGCGAAGGCGGCUCUCUGGUCUGUAACUGACGCUGAGGCUCGAAAGCGUGGGGAGCAAACAGGAUUAGAUACCCUGGUAGUCCACGCCGU